This is a long non-coding RNA of Apus apus (common swift), 2251 nucleotides long. RefSeq lists it as uncharacterized. Lineage: Eukaryota; Metazoa; Chordata; Aves; Apodiformes; Apodidae. The transcript is spliced from 3 exons. The record is from RefSeq and is a predicted model, not a curated record.
CCAAGCUCCAGGACCAGCGUCAGGCCGCCCCAACUGCUCCCACAGCCCAGCUGGUCCCCAGCACUCGGCAGCAACGCCGGAGAGAUGGCAGCAAUGGCACCUCCAGAACUGCCCACUCCUCAAGCCACAGAGGCACAGGCUGGCACAGCAGAAGUGGCACCAGUCUUCAGCUGGUUUGGAAGAAACUACCCAAAAAAGGCAAAUCAAAAGAAAGGUACAAAAGUCAUAGCAGCAGCUUGAAACGCAAAGUUUCAGAGAAGCCUCUUGUCACUUAAAAGGUGAAGUAAGCACAGUGUUUUUCAGAGUCUCAAACCAUUGGAAAGAAGCACUCUCCUGAUAUUCAACUAUUCCACCAGAUAGUUAUAACAAGGGAUAAAAAAAAUACUGAAGAGGAUCCUAAACAGAAUACAAACUCGAGCAGAAGGAAGCUCCUUCAUGUUCAAAUUACAUGCAACACACAAAACAUCGCAUUUUUUCAAAAACUUGAACCUGCUUAGAAAAAGAGAAUAUUGUCUGGCGAUAAAAUAAAAAGGGGAGGGGAGUGGAAGGGAAAGUAGUCAUUACAUCCAAAUAUAAAACCAGAACAAUUUUUAAUAUUACUGAAUACAAAAAAAAACCCCAACAUAUCUUCCAUCCCUUACCACAAACAAACAAAAAAAAAAGCUGUUCACUUUGAAAUACAAACAAGCUCUACUGUGUUGUCUUUUAUGACUGGUUAUCUCAGGUUUUAUAACAUUACUAUCUGGAAAGCUCUCUGAUAAGAAGCAAACACUAUUUUGCACACACAAAACACCAGGGUUUGGGAGAAGAGAGGAGAUUUCCAAAGGGUGUGGAGGAACGGCAGGGAGAAGGAAGCAAAAAGAGAGCGAAACAACCUGCAAGCAUUUCUGCUGAUGCUUCCCAUUUUUGCAUGCACAAGCCCAACAACCUUUUCUAACCUGCCCAGGCAAUCCCACUUGCAGCUGGGGGAGCUCCCCUCGCCCAGGGAAGCCUGUCCCCUACUCCUGAGAAGCUGCAGCUUCAAGGGGAACCAGGGGAGGUUUCCAGGGACAGGUAGGUGAGACAAGAGAGAGAGAUGUGAACAGGUUACAAUCCUACAUCCAAACUUGCUCACAGGUGCAGCCUGAAAAGGGAACAUUGGCCCUGCACAGGCACCAGGCCAUUGCUGGUGGUCCCUGACAAGCAACUGCUGCUCUCACAUACCACUGCUUCCUCAUCCCACUGCUCCGGCAUCCUGCCUGCCCUGCAGGAUUGCCCGUCUGUAUGCAAACUAAGCAGGUUUAAGAGCAUCCUAACCUCAUUUUGCUCAAAUCCAUCGAGAUUUUAAUUAAGGCACACAAAUAUCAAGUUAAUGUCUCAAAUCUAUACAAAUUGACCCAUCUAAUGACCCUGGUUUCUGUGAGGACAGCAAAAUCAAUACAACAUGAAUGGAUGUUCACAGGGUGACAGACUCUGUAGCCUCUGCAAAAACUUUUUUCCAAGAAAUACUAAGUAUUGUCUCAGGGAAAAUAUUUAAUAUGAAACUGUUUCAACACUCUUUGUGUAUUCUGAAGACAUUUCUUAUUUCUACACAAAAGUUGUUUCAAUAAUAUAUGAAUAACAUUUUACUGUCAAGUUCAAUCCUGAGCUGAAGCAGCAUGCAACACUUUAUGUUGACUAGAAACAAAGAAGCUCUGUCUGCCUUGGCUACUCUCCAUUUCAGGAUGGGGAGAAGCAAGGAGGCCUAUAUUUUAAUGAAAACAGGCGGAAGAAAACCCACGACCAAGCAGAGAAAACUCUGAUGAUGGACGCUGAAACCCCAUCAACGUAUACCUGACUCCACAGCACAGCACACACAACUCAUAGUAGCUUAUAUAGCAGAGACGUUUUUUUUUACCCACUUACCACAAAAUGGUGCCACCAUCUAAACCAAAAAGUGCUGGAUCCCUGCAGUGCAAUUUGUGGGUUUUAUGUACAUGGACAUUUUAACAGAGCCCAGAGGAUGACUGAACACAAUUUAUGUGGGUUCCAACAUUUUUUUUAAGAUGGCUGGAUGGUCCUGUCCAUUUGAGCUGUUGCAGCAGCACAGUAUUUCAGCAUUAGCUUCAAAGGCUGUGAUAAUAAAUAGGGCAUCUGCAGCAGACAACGUGAAUUUCAGAACACGGCAGCUUAUGCUUUGCAGUACUCCCCUGAUGGCUAGAUAUGGGAUGGACAUUGUGCAAAUGUUAAACUGCCAUGAAAAACUAAGAGGAAAAGAAAAAUUUACCAGCCG